RNAcentral lists this ribosomal RNA (253 nucleotides) under uncultured bacterium. Its description in RNAcentral is "partial 16S ribosomal RNA". It matches the Rfam family "Bacterial small subunit ribosomal RNA", at positions 524 to 776 of the family's 1533-position model. The record is from RNAcentral.
UACAGAGGUGGCAAGCGUUGUUCGGAAUUACUGGGCGUAAAGGGCGCGUAGGCGGCCUUCUAAGUCAGACGUGAAAUCCCCCGGCUUAACCUGGGAACUGCGUCUGAUACUGGGAGGCUUGAGUAUGGGAGAGGGAUGUAGAAUUCCAGGUGUAGCGGUGAAAUGCGUAGAUAUCUGGAGGAAUACCGGUGGCGAAGGCGGCAUCCUGGACCAUAACUGACGCUGAGGCGCGAAAGCUAGGGGAGCGAACGGG